Molecule: ribosomal RNA, 465 nt
Filed under: Vreelandella stevensii
Lineage: Bacteria; Pseudomonadati; Pseudomonadota; Gammaproteobacteria; Oceanospirillales; Halomonadaceae
Description: partial 16S ribosomal RNA
Rfam family: Bacterial small subunit ribosomal RNA
Source: RNAcentral
CCUACGGGUGGCAGCAGUGGGGAAUAUUGGACAAUGGGCGAAAGCCUGAUCCAGCCAUGCCGCGUGUGAGAAGAAGGCCUUCGGGUUGUAAAGCACUUUCAGUGGGGAAGAAAGCCUUGGGGCUAAUACCCUCGAGGAAGGACAUCACCCACAGAAGAAGCACCGGCUAACUCCGUGCCAGCAGCCGCGGUAAUACGGAGGGUGCGAGCGUUAAUCGGAAUUACUGGGCGUAAAGCGCGCGUAGGCGGUCUGAUAAGCCGGUUGUGAAAGCCCCGGGCUCAACCUGGGAACGGCAUCCGGAACUGUCAGGCUAGAGUGCAGGAGAGGAAGGUAGAAUUCCCGGUGUAGCGGUGAAAUGCGUAGAGAUCGGGAGGAAUACCAGUGGCGAAGGCGGCCUUCUGGACUGACACUGACGCUGAGGUGCGAAAGCGUGGGUAGCAAACAGGAUUAGAUACCCGAGUAGUC